This 3616-nucleotide long non-coding RNA is filed under the name Salmo salar (Atlantic salmon). Its description in RNAcentral is "lncRNA (ENSSSAG00000108804.1)". Lineage: Eukaryota; Metazoa; Chordata; Actinopteri; Salmoniformes; Salmonidae. The record is from RNAcentral.
UCUGAAUAACAUGAAAACAGCCUAACCAGCUCUUCUAGGGCAAGUAAAAUGGUCAGAGUUUGGGUGGGGGCUAAAGCUUAAGAUGAUUAUGGCAUUGCACAAGGUCAGUGUGAACCAGAGUGACUUGACAAAACGGGCCAAGCAGCUGUUCAAACAAAACGGAAAUGACACAGGAAGUCAUAUUUAAUGAAAGGGGUUGCAGUCUCCCAUGAAGCGUGUAUCCAUGUAUACAGCAGUAGAACAUGCCUGGCUCUCCUCCACCGGUCAUACAUGGAGAAUGGUACAAUGCCUCCCAUCAAAAAGAGAGCUGGCCCGAGCAAGCACAGGUUUCACCUGAAGCAUGAAGACUUGCAGCGAGUUGUGAACUUUAUCAACAACUACGCAGAGGAUAAUACAAUAGUACUACCAGGACACCACCCAGGACACAAACACUUGGUGGAAAGCUGCUGCCAUUCCAUGUGACAAAAGCAGCGGUGUGGGGCAUCUCUACAAGGAAUCAAUGACAACACUUGCUUCGAUGCUGUGGAGCCUGGGGUUGUUGUCGCAAAGGACGUUCGGACUGAGUUGGGACCAGGUUUCAGGUGCUUUGCCAUGCUAACAUCCUUCCUUCCAUAGAAGGCGACGACAGAGAGGAUCGCCUCGGCUUUUAGUCCUUCAUUGUUUUAUGUAUUAUUUCUUACAUUGUUAGCCCAGAAAAUCUUAAGUGUUAUUACAUACAGCCGGGAAGAACUAUUAGAUAUCAGAGUGACGUCAACUUAUUAGUACUACGACCAGGAAUACGAUUUUCCCGUAGCGGAUGUUUGUUUGAACCACACAAGGCAUUAGAACUGUUUCCGGAGGCUGACCCAAAACAACAGGAGAGAGAGACGGAGCAGCCUUCUGAUCAGACUUCGGAGGCGCGCACACCACCCACCUCUUCCGAGUAUUUUACUCAGUAAUGUCCAGUCUCUAGAUAACAAGGCAGAUGAAGUUAGAGCUAGGGUUGCUUUCCAGAGAGACAUCCGGGAUUGUAACCUCUCUGGGCUAGGCGGGACGAAUUCAUCCCACCUACGCAACAGCCAGUUGAAUCCCAUGGCGCGAUUUUCAAAUACCUUAGAAAUGCUAUUACUUCAAUUUCUCAAACACAUGACUAUUUUACAGCAUUUUAAAGACAAGACUCUCGUUAAUCUAACCACACUGUCCGAUUUCAAAAAGGCUUUACAACGAAAGCAAAACAUUAGAUUAUGUCAGCAGAGUACCCAGCCAGAAAUAAUCAGACACCCAUUUUUCAAGCUAGCAUAUAAUGUCACAAAAACCCAGAAGACAGCUAAAUGCAGCACUAACCUUUGAUGAUCUUCAUCAGAUGACACACCUAGGACAUUAUGUUAUACAAUACAUGCAUGUUUUGUUCAAUCAAGUUCAUAUUUAUAUCAAAAACCAGCUUUUUACAUUGGCAUGUGACGUUCAGAACUAGCAUACCCCCCGCAAACCUCCGGUGAAUUUACUAAAUUACUCACGAUAAACGUUCACAAAAAACAUAACAAUUAUUUUAAGAAUUAUAGAUACAGAACUCCUUUGUGCAAUCGAGGUGUCCGAUUUUAAAAUAGCUUUUCGGUGAAAGCACAUUUUGCAAUAUUCUGAGUACAUAGCCAAGCCAUCACGGCUAGCUAUCAGCAUAUCGAUUGUAGUACCUGGGCUGACAAAACACUGGAUCACUGGUAGUCUAACUUCUGCGGUGCAUACAAGGCCCUCCCCCGCCCCCCGUUCGACAAAUCUGACCACGACUCCAUUUUGCUUCUCCCCUCCUAUAGGCAGAAACUCAAACAGGAUGUAACCAUGACUAGGACCAUUCAACGCUGGUCUGACCAAUCAGAAUCCACGCUUCAAGAUUGUUUUGAUCACGCGGAUUGGGACAAAUUCUGGGUAGCCUCAGAGAAUAAUAUAGAUUUACAUGCUGAUUCAGUGAGUGAGUUUAUAAGGAAGUGCAUAGGAGACGUUGUUCCCACUGUGACUAUUAAAACCUACCCUAACCAGAAACCGUGGAUAGAUGGUGGCAUUCACGCAAAACUGAAAGCACGAACCACCGCAUUUAACCAUGGAAAGAUGACCGGGAAUAUGGCUGAAUAUAAACAGUGUAGUUAUUCCCUCCGCAAGGCAAUCACAAAAGCGAAAAGUAAGUAUAGGGCAAAACGGCUCAGACACGAGACAUAUGUGGCAGGGUCUACAGGCAAUGAAAACCAGCCACGUCAAGAACACUGACGUCUUGCUUUCAGACAAACUAAAGAACUUCUUUGCCCGCUUUGAGGAUAAAACAAUGCCCGCUACCAAGGACUGCGCCCCCCCCCUCCUUCUCCAUGACCUACGUGAGUAAGACAUUUAAACGUGUUAACCCUCGCAAGGCUGCUGGCCCAGACAGCAUCCUUAGCCGCAUCCUCAGAGAAUGUCCAGACCAGCUGGCUGGUGUGUUUACGGACAUAUUCAAUGUCUCCCUAUCCCAGUCUGCUGUCCUCACAUGCUUCAAGAUAGCCACCAUUGUUCCUGUACCCAAGAAGGCAAAGGUAACUCAACUGAAUGACUAUCGCACCGUAGCACUCACUUCUGUCAUCAUGAAGUGCUUUGAGAGACUAGUCAAGGAUCAUAUCACCUCCGCCUUACAUGUCACCCUAGACCAACUGUAAUUUGCAUACCACCCCAAUAGGUCAACAGACGAUGCAAUCACCAUCACACUGCACACUGGUUACCGAGAGACUGAAAUAUAGCUUCUAUCUCAAGGCCAUCAGACUGUUAAACAGCCAUCACUAACACAGAGAGGCUCCUGCCUACAUACAGACUUGAAAUCAUUGGCCACUCUAACAAAUAGAACAGUAGUCACUUUAUUAAUGCCACUUCAAUAAUGAUGUUUACAUGUCUUGCACUACUCAUCCCAGAUGUAUAUAUUGUAUUUUAUACCAUUGCAUCUCGUCUAUGCUGGUUGGUCAUGGCCCAUCCAUAUAUUUAUAUGUACAUAUUAUUAGUCCAUCCUUUUACUUAGAUUUGUGUGUAUUAGGUAGUUUGUGGAAUUGUUAGAUUGCUUGUUAGAUAUUUCUGCACUGUCAGAACUAGAAGCACAAGCAUUUCGCUACACUCGCAAUAACAUCUGCUGACCAUGUGUAUGUGACCAAUAAAAUGUGAUUUGAUUUCAAAUGGCCUACCUGUAUAAGUACCACCUGGACUGGACACAGCUAGAAAAAUGUCCAUUGCUAAUGUCCAUUGCUCGUGUUUCUUGGCCCAAGCAAGUCUCUUCUUCUUAUUGGUGUCCUUUAUUAGUGGUUUCUUUGCAGCAAUUCAACCAUGACGGCCUAAUUCACACAGUCUCCUCUGAACAGUUAAUGUUGAGAUAUGUCUGUUACUUGAACUAUGUGAAGCAUUUAUUUGGGCUGCAAUUCCUGAGGCCGGUAGCUCUGAUGAACUUAUUCUCUGCAGCAGAGGUAACUAUGGGUCUUCCUUUCCUGUGGUGGUCUGUAACGCCCUGGCCAUAGAGAGGGGUUUUUGUUCUUUAUUUUGGUUAGGCCAGGGUGUUACAUUGGGUGGGCGUUCUAUGUUAAUUUUUCUAUGUUUUUGUAUUUCUUUGUUUUGGGCCGUGUGUGGCUACCAAUCA